GCUCACUUUGGCUGCACCUACAGUAAUAUUGGGAGGAUACACAGAAGUCCUGCAUGGCCGCUGUGCAAGGGUGACACACAAAGGUGUGCAGCGUUUUGUAUUUUU
Callithrix jacchus (white-tufted-ear marmoset) is the source of this 105-nucleotide small nuclear RNA. The record is from Ensembl. Lineage: Eukaryota; Metazoa; Chordata; Mammalia; Primates; Cebidae.